RNAcentral lists this small RNA (132 nucleotides) under Rhizobium sp. BG4. Its description in RNAcentral is "Alphaproteobacterial sRNA ar35". It matches the Rfam family "Alphaproteobacterial sRNA ar35". Lineage: Bacteria; Pseudomonadati; Pseudomonadota; Alphaproteobacteria; Hyphomicrobiales; Rhizobiaceae. The record is from Rfam by way of RNAcentral.
AACGCCUUUAAUGGUUUGUUAACCUUUCGGGAUCAGUCUGGCUGCAAUAUCUGCUUCCUCCUUGACCACGGAUGUACUGGCACCGAAGCGAAGCAGAUGACGAAAGGCCGGUUUUCGCCGGCCUUUUUGUCU